RNAcentral lists this ribosomal RNA (187 nucleotides) under uncultured rumen bacterium. Its description in RNAcentral is "partial 16S ribosomal RNA". It matches the Rfam family "Bacterial small subunit ribosomal RNA", at positions 340 to 524 of the family's 1533-position model. The record is from RNAcentral.
UACGGGAGGCAGCAGUGAGGAAUAUUGGUCAAUGGGCGAGAGCCUGAACCAGCCAAGUAGCGUGCAGGAUGACGGCCCUAUGGGUUGUAAACUGCUUUUAUGCGGGGAUAAAGUCGGCUACGUGUAGCCGUUUGCAGGUACCGCAUGAAUAAGGACCGGCUAAUUCCGUGCCAGCAGCCGCGGUAAU